GAUGAACGCUGGCGGCGUGCCUAAUACAUGCAAGUCGAGCGAACAGAUGAGGAGCUUGCUCCUCUGACGUUAGCGGCGGACGGGUGAGUAACACGUGGAUAACCUACCUAUAAGACUGGGAUAACUUCGGGAAACCGGAGCUAAUACCGGAUAAUAUAUUGAACCGCAUGGUUCAAUAGUGAAAGACGGUUUUGCUGUCACUUCUAGAUGGAUCCGCGCCGCAUUAGCUAGUUGGUAAGGUAACGGCUUACCAAGGCAACGAUGCGUAGCCGACCUGAGAGGGGGAUCGGCGACCUUAGAGCUGGGACACGGUCAAUACUCCUGCGGGAGGCAGCAGUAGGCAAUCGUCCGCAAUGGUCGAAAGCCUGACGGAGUAACGCCGCGUGAGUGAUGAAGGUCUUGGGAUCGUAAAACUCUGUUAUUAGUGAAGAACAAAUUUGUAAGUAACUAUGCACGUCUUGACGGUACCUAAUCAGAAAGCCACGGCUAACUACGUG
RNAcentral lists this ribosomal RNA (497 nucleotides) under uncultured bacterium. Its description in RNAcentral is "partial 16S ribosomal RNA". It matches the Rfam family "Bacterial small subunit ribosomal RNA", at positions 28 to 507 of the family's 1533-position model. The record is from RNAcentral.